Musca vetustissima is the source of this 213-nucleotide small nuclear RNA. RefSeq annotates it as U12 minor spliceosomal RNA. Lineage: Eukaryota; Metazoa; Arthropoda; Insecta; Diptera; Muscidae. The transcript has a single exon. The record is from RefSeq and is a predicted model, not a curated record.
GUGCCUAAAUUUAACGAGUAAGGAAAACCAUAAUGUCUUGCUAAUCGCUUGACAGAGCGCUUCUAGGCAGUGUGGAAUUUCGUAAUAGAAGUUUCACAUGAAGCACAAAUUUUUGCAUGGGCACAGGUCGUCCCUUUGAACUGAAGUGCGCUGGAGUUCGACUACUUUUCGGACUUUGGCGCACACAACGGUUUGGGUGAAGCGAUCUGCCCG